CCUACGGGGGGCAGCAGUGGGGAAUAUUGCACAAUGGGCGCAAGCCUGAUGCAGCCAUGCCGCGUGUGUGAAGAAGGCCUUCGGGUUGUAAAGCACUUUCAGCGGGGAGGAAGGCGUUAAGGUUAAUAACCUUGUCGAUUGACGUUACCCGCAGAAGAAGCACCGGCUAACUCCGUGCCAGCAGCCGCGGUAAUACGGAGGGUGCAAGCGUUAAUCGGAAUUACUGGGCGUAAAGCGCACGCAGGCGGUCUGUCAAGUCGGAUGUGAAAUCCCCGGGCUCAACCUGGGAACUGCAUUCGAAACUGGCAGGCUAGAGUCUUGUAGGGGGGGGUAGAAUUCCAGGUGUAGCGGUGAAAUGCGUAGAGAUCUGGAGGAAUACCGGUGGCGAAGGCGGCCCCCUGGACAAAGACUGACGCUCAGGUGCGAAAGCGUGGGGAGCAAACAGGAUAGAUACCCGAGUAGUC
This 464-nucleotide ribosomal RNA is filed under the name uncultured Klebsiella sp. RNAcentral describes it as "bacterial SSU rRNA". It matches the Rfam family "Bacterial small subunit ribosomal RNA", at positions 338 to 795 of the family's 1533-position model. Lineage: Bacteria; Pseudomonadati; Pseudomonadota; Gammaproteobacteria; Enterobacterales; Enterobacteriaceae. The record is from RNAcentral.